This 71-nucleotide transfer RNA is filed under the name Candidatus Heimdallarchaeota archaeon LC_2. Its description in RNAcentral is "tRNA-Gly". It matches the Rfam family "tRNA". Rfam says of the family: Transfer RNA (tRNA) molecules are approximately 80 nucleotides in length. Their secondary structure includes four short double-helical elements and three loops (D, anti-codon, and T loops). The record is from RNAcentral. Lineage: Archaea; Promethearchaeati; Candidatus Heimdallarchaeota.
GCGGCGAUGGUAUAAUGGUAGAAUAGGAGCUUUCCAAGCUCUUGAUCCGGGUUCGAUUCCCGGUCGCCGCA